This 424-nucleotide ribosomal RNA is filed under the name uncultured Succinivibrio sp. RNAcentral describes it as "bacterial SSU rRNA". It matches the Rfam family "Bacterial small subunit ribosomal RNA", at positions 355 to 794 of the family's 1533-position model. The record is from RNAcentral. Lineage: Bacteria; Pseudomonadati; Pseudomonadota; Gammaproteobacteria; Aeromonadales; Succinivibrionaceae.
UAGGGAAUAUUGCACAAUGGAGGAAACUCUGAUGCAGCCAUGCCGCGUGUGUGAAGAAGGCCUUCGGGUUGUAAAGCACUUUCGGAGGGGAGGAAAAAAUGACGUUACCCUCAGAAGAAGCACCGGCUAACUCCGUGCCAGCAGCCGCGGUAAUACGGAGGGUGCAAGCGUUAAUCGGAAUAACUGGGCGUAAAGGGCAUGCAGGCGGUUCAUCAAGUAGGAUGUGAAAUCCCCGGGCUCAACCUGGGAACAGCAUACUAAACUGGUGGACUAGAGUAUUGCAGGGGGAGACGGAAUUCCAGGUGUAGCGGUGGAAUGCGUAGAUAUCUGGAAGAACACCAAAGGCGAAGGCAGUCUCCUGGGCAAAUACUGACGCUCAUAUGCGAAAGCGUGGGUAGCAAACAGGAUUAGAUACCCUGGUAGU